GACGAACGCUGGCGGCGUGCCUAAUACAUGCAAGUUGAGCGCUGAAGGUUGGUACUUGUACCAACUGGAUGAGCAGCGAAGGGGUGAGUAACGCGUGGGGAAUCUGCCUUUGAGCGGGGGACAACAUUUGGAAACGAAUGCUAAUACCGCAUAAAAACUUUAAACACAAGUUUUAAGUUUGAAAGAUGCAAUUGCAUCACUCAAAGAUGAUCCCGCGUUGUAUUAGCUAGUUGGUGAGGUAAAGGCUCACCAAGGCGAUGAUACAUAGCCGACCUGAGAGGGUGAUCGGCCACAUUGGGACUGAGACACGGCCCAAACUCCUACGGGAGGCAGCAGUAGGGAAUCUUCGGCAAUGGACGAAAGUCUGACCGAGCAACGCCGCGGGAGUGAAGAAGGUUUUCGGAUCGUAAAACUCUGUUGGUAGAGAAGAACGUUGGUGAGAGUGGAAAGCUCAUCAAGUGACGGUAACUACACAGAAAGGGACGGCUAACUACGUG
Molecule: ribosomal RNA, 497 nt
Filed under: uncultured bacterium
Lineage: Bacteria
Description: partial 16S ribosomal RNA
Rfam family: Bacterial small subunit ribosomal RNA
Source: RNAcentral